GGUGCACGUGUGUGCGGAAAACAUGGCUACGUUACAGUUUGAUUACAGAGUUAGCUUUGUUCAUUUGUGGCUCUGCCCAUCAUGAAAGACAUCAGAAGGAGUUACAGUGUCACAUCCGUUCGUGGGCCAUUGGUUGACGUGUUUUUCUCGUCUUCACGAAGCUAUUCAGCUAGAAUAACGAAUCGAAAAUCGGAGGUCAGAUGUCUGAUGGGUCAAUAAGUGGACCAAGCUUUGAGCAGAUGUAUUUAAAGAUGCUUGUUUUACUCUGCAAUCUGGCUGUUGGAUGGACCAGAUGGGAGAGCGUUUCGCUGAUUUUUACAGAAGAAGAGACGUGCUUCUGUGUUCAUUAAGUCGAACCAGAGAACGCUGUAAACGCAUUUCUAGAAAAGAUUGCGACUUUCUCACAAGAAAAUGGAGGAAGAAACAAAAUGGGGGGAAACCAUUUGACUCUUGAGCAGAGCUGUGCACAAGAAAACUGCCUAUUGAAGUAUCAGAUCAUAAGCAACUGGAACACGAAGCCAAUGCGAUGGAAAACACUUUAUCCUUGGCAAGUCAAGAACUUAACUUCCGCAAAAGUUUUUCGCUGAGACUCGAAAAACAUUUCCGGCAGAAGUUGACGAAGAUACCAGUUUGCAAGCAUUUAGUCAAUUAUGGGAUGCCAAUUGAUAUCGAAGAGCGUAUCAAGAAAAAUUCUGAUUUUGUCGUAGUUACCCAGCUAAGUAUCUUUAUUGCCUCUGUUUUUCUUGGAGACUCGAAAGAAAUGUUCCUGCAGAAACCAGUUCGAAAGCCUAUGGUCAAUUAUGGAUGCCAAUUGAUAUCGAAGGGCGUAUCCACUCAGCUAAGUAUCUGUAUUGCCUCUGCAAGUUUUUUUUUUUUUUUUUUUUUGCAAAGUCUUUUCGUAGGAAACCCCUUUUCAAAACUCUUCAAUUUUCCCGCCGAAAAACUUAGAUAAAUACGGUGCUUCCAUAUACGCAUGCGCCGGAUUUUUUCUUUUUGGCUGGUGUUCAUUAUUUGUAGUCAUUUAUUAUUUCUUAGCUCAAUAAAAGGUAUUGUUCAAACACUGGUCUAUUUGUGUCAAAUUCUUUAUUGCCUUCAUGUCUUUUCUUCAUACAAUGUGUAAACAAGUAUUCUAAGUAUUUCUUCAAAAAUAUACUAAGUUUUUUGGCGGGAAAAUUUGGACCAAUUUGCACAGAGUUUCCGUGACCACAUUUCUUCGCAAAAAUUGAUAAGACUCGUCUUUAAAAUUUUUCCCGCCAAAAUGACUGCUUCGCCAUCUCAAACAAAAGUUUCAAUUUUGCCAAACAUUGUUUUUUAACUCAAAGAAAUUACCUUUUCCGCGAUGCAAUUACUUUCCAGAGUUGGAUUUUGCUUAAGAUGUUGUUAGGUAUAUAACGUGUAGUUGAAAGAGGCAAGAUGACAAACUUUUCCGAGAUUAGCCAAACCUAUCAGUUUAAUUGCCAAUUAUUUUAUCCAAUUUCUCAGAGGUAAGCCGUUUUUUUAUUUUUUGCCGAAUUUUGCGAAGGUAAACUCUUUGGUUUCUAAAAAUUUUCUGCUUAUUUGUUUUCUGAUUUUAUCAAAGUGAAUUGUCUUUGACUUUCAAUAAUUUUAUUGGAACUGUGAAGUUUGCCAUGUUGCCCUUUAAAACAUGCUGAAUAUAAAAAUUUCUAAGACCAUUGCUGUUUAACAGAAAUAUUAUUAAGGGCAAAAAUGUUUUCCAAAUCGGUUUUUUGUUCAUACUUAUUCCUUUCCCCGAGUAUUUUCAUUGUUAAAUGUUCAAGAGAAUUCGUUCCGAAUAUGAUUUCUACCUUAAUCUUCAUGUUGACAAAUGUUCAAGACAUUCGGUCGGAAUUUAGCUAGUCCCUUUCAAAUUUUUAGAGCGUUUUGUAUUUUUUAAGGUUUUCGAUCUAUUUUUGGUAACUUUUGCCCUUUUGAUUUCUUGUUGAAACAGCAAAGCUUAACUCUUCAACUCUAAAUAUUGAACGAUAAAAAUUCAGAGACUGUUAUCGACCACAGAAAGCAUAGUAAAACCCUAGGUUGCAUCGUAAUCUUUUAACCUCAAACGUUUUGUUUACAGAGUGUUUGACGUCUUGACUAUCGCUACAUGAAGCUGUGAAACGAUAUUCGAUAAAUCACAGAUAUGUAUUCAACGACCGACCAAAACAAUUUUAUUUAGAAAAUGUAAGAGGGAUCUUUUCGUGACUUUUCAAAGAUUCAGCAAAUUCUCACCAUAGGAAUUAAUUUGACAAAAUCUGAAUUAAUCCACAAUUGAAAAUUAAGGUAACGGCUCACUUGUUAUGGCCUAUCAAACUUGAAAUGGCGACUAUUUGAUUCUCUCGGUUUAUAAAUCAGAUAAAAGCCUUUAGUGCAGUUCUCUUCGGUCGACAGUAUUAUAAAUGGAA
This is a long non-coding RNA of Stylophora pistillata, 2399 nucleotides long. RefSeq lists it as uncharacterized. NCBI's taxonomy places the organism in Eukaryota, Metazoa, Cnidaria, Anthozoa, Scleractinia, Pocilloporidae. The record is from RefSeq and is a predicted model, not a curated record.